This 1102-nucleotide long non-coding RNA is filed under the name Rattus norvegicus (Norway rat). RNAcentral's name for it is "long non-coding RNA NONRATT011261". The record is from RNAcentral. Lineage: Eukaryota; Metazoa; Chordata; Mammalia; Rodentia; Muridae.
GUUGUGUGCGUUGUUUUGUUUUUUUGAGAUAGGGUUUGCUUUGCCGUACUGUUGGCUUGGUCCUGGUUACAUAUCCUAGGCUGACCUUAAACCUCUGAUAAUCUUUCUUCCUUGGUCUCCCAAGUGCUGAGAUAACCGUUGUAGGCUACCAUGCUCAUUUUCCUGUGUUUAUUGAACAAGCUGUAGUUGAAGGCUUAAUAAAGGAACCAAUUGGCCAGACAUGUAGUGCACACCUUCAAAACCAGCUCUGAGGAUGUCUGAGAAGCAGACAGAAUCUCAGUUCAAGGCCUGGAUUGUAUAAAAAUUCAGGCUAGGCAAGGCUACAUAGCAAGACACUCUCAAAAAAGAGAGGAGCAGUUGAAGCUGGUGAUAACUUCUCCUUUGAUUAGGCCACCAGGAAACCCUCCACGAAGAAUGGGUCGGAUCAGUCACCUUCGUGGCCCCAGCCCUCCUCCAAUGGCCGGUGGAUGAGGAAGGUAAACGUCUGCUCUGAGAAGCAGACAACUAGACAUACACGCCUAGAAGGGAACCAUCAAGAGGUGAGGAGCGGCUCAUGAGGAGAAGAUGGUGUAUGUCCAAACAAGGACUGCUCUGUGUCCUCACAGAAGAAUGAGGUCAUGCUGGGAACUCCCUCUGCAGGAUCUGGCCUGACUGAUGUGCAGUUCUAUAAAUGUACAUGUGUGUCUCCUUAUCUGUUUUGUAUAGUUCACUAAAGUUAAUAUAGAUUUAAGAAGUAAAUAUUUUUAGGUUGCAAAACUUGAUUCUUCAUCUUUAUAUGAUUAUACCCAAAAUCCUUGAUCUGGAAGAAAUAAAGGCCAUGUAGUUAGUCCUGGAUUUUUUUGUUUGUUUGUUUGUUUGUUUGGUUGGUUGGUUGGUUGGUUUUGGGGGUUUUGGGUUUUUGGGUUUUUUUUUUGUUGUUGUUGUUGUUGUUGUUGUUUUUGGUGUUUUUGUUUUUUUUUUUUUUUUUUUGGGUCUGGCUUUUCUGAGCCACCGUGCCCUUCUCCAGUGUAUAUCGUCCUGUUAAUGUUGCCUUUCCUCGGCUUUUGAAACACUGCUCACUGUUGCUUUGCUCUCAUUUGUAAAUAAACCACAAUGCAGUUAC